This 3534-nucleotide unclassified non-coding RNA is filed under the name Leishmania donovani. RNAcentral describes it as "gene:LdHU3.30.1150(CDS-product:50S_ribosome-bindi ng_GTPase_putative)". The record is from RNAcentral. Lineage: Eukaryota; Euglenozoa; Kinetoplastea; Trypanosomatida; Trypanosomatidae.
CAUCUGCUUGCACAUAAGAGCGGUGCUGCACCGUUUGUUUUUUGUGGUGGUUGGGGGCACGUCGCUCUCUCAAACUCUGCCCGUCCUUUGCGCACACAAGCAGAAAUAGGCUGACGCACUAAAGGACUAGUAUCAAAGCUGCGUUCAUGUGGCGCCGUGCGCCAGUUUUGCGGAAACGCAAGGUGCCGCCGCUGGGGUACAGCAAGAACGACUUUUUUCGGAAGGUUCGCAGCCCCGGUGCUAGUAAACCAUGGCGCGACAGAGCUGCAGCCACGGGUGGUAGCAUCGAGGUAACAUCCAACGUCGAUGUGGUCGAUGAGGAUGGGAGCACGAUCAUGGGAAGUCUUACCACCUCUGGCCCUCUCGGCAUGCGCAGCCCCCACAUGCCACCGUCGGCUGCGAAGGCGGCCCUUGCCGAUGCCCAGCAGCAGCCUUCCUGGGGCGGCGGGCCAGCCGCAGCUGCUCGGGCAAACCAUUGCUUCGGUGCUCCGCUGCUUCGCUCGCUUGACGGGCCCACGACCACAGGUGGCGUUCACGAUGACGCCUCCACAGCGCUUGCUGGUGCUGCUGCAUCAGUGGCGUUGCUCGCGGCUCCUUAUGGUGAGGACGCCGGUGUCCCUCGUGCAGCGCUGCCAUCGUCUUCGCCUUCUUCGGCUGGGGUCUCUCGGCUGCAGGCUGGAACGCCGAUAGCCACCGUUCCAUUUGGGAAAUCGCUUCAGCUGAACGUGGAGGAGGUGGACACGUACCCGUCGUCAGAGCCUGUGCCACUUCAACUGCAGGGCCUAAAGCGCCGCUCCAGGAAAGCGGUGGCCGACUCCAUCCUGCUGCCCCGACACAUCAACAGGCUCUUCCACAAGAUCAUGGGAUGGUCGGAGGAGCUGGUUGACCUCGAGGCGGAGAAGGACUCGCUCUCGCAGGAGCAGACGGGUGCGUCCGAGCCGCGAGGCGCAAGGCCGAGCGCGUUACGCAAAAAGGCGGAAAAUUUGACGGACAAGAUGAAGUACGGCGUUCUCCUCGACGCAUACGAAAAGGAUCGGUUUGCCAUCGAGCAUCAGCUGGAGAUUGCCGGCGAGAAGAUGGAGCGCAAGAUGCUGGGAUGGGAGGGGAUGCAUGUCCUGGACCAGGACGCUGCUGCGGAGAUGGCGCACGUGCUGGAGAACAAGACAUCCAUCGUCAUGGAGGCUCCUUCGUCGUUUCACGUUCCAGUGCCUGGCCGCGACUGCUGCCCAGGGUGUGGGGCGCUUUUGCAGAACCUUAGUGAGGACGCCUUCGGCUACGUUCGGCCGGGCGAGAUCGAAAAGUACGUGGCUCAGCGGAACGAGAAGGCGCAGCUCCGCCAUGAAUACGCGGCUCGCAUGGCAGAGCUGCAGGCGCACUGGGCGAAGCACGGCCGUCAUGUCGGAGAGGAGUGGCUGGACUUCAUGACGCAGGAGGAGUUUGAUGCCUUUUACCGUGACACGCCGCGCCCCUUCACCUGCCACCGUUGCCACGCCUUGGAAAACCUGGGCGUGGAGGGGCGUCGCAAGGUUUGGUCUGCCCCGGACUUCACGGACCAGCUCCGCGCCCUCAAGGAAAAGAAGUGCGUGGUCGUCUUGGUCGUGGAUAUCACGGACUUUCCGGGCUCGAUGGUGUACGAUUUGCCCGGCCUGAUCAGCAUGAAUAAUUCAGUCAUUAUCGCAGUGAAUAAGAUGGACUGCAUCCGGAAUCGCUCUUUCAACUACGCCAGCAAGGAUCGCAGCGUUGCAGCGUGCUUGGUGUCCGAGAGCUACGUGCGCCGUUGGGUGAUGGACAUUGCGGUGCAAUUUGGACUACCGCAGCAUCAAAUCAAAAAAGUGGUACCUCUGUCUGCAAAGCGGGGCUGGGGCAUCACGCACUUGAUCAGCGCCAUCGAGGACGCGGCCAAUUUGAACCUGCGUCGCCCCCACAAGCCUCUGCCCACCUACUUUGUCGGCGUGGCAAACGUGGGCAAGUCUUCUGUGAUUAAUGCCAUGGCGCACGCCCUUUACGUGCCGCAACCCCCCCACCCGGAGAGCCGAAAAGUGUACUACACAAAGACCGACGCACAGGGGAAGAAUGCUGUCUUUUGGCGUUGGUACACUCCCCCUAACGUGAAUCAAGCAGAGAUGCUCGACAUACGGGGCCGCCACGACAAGAAGGCGUCUAAGCUGAUGACGGUAUCUUCCCUACCCGGCACCACAGUUGCCGUUAACGCUGUUCGCCUCUCUCUCGGACCCACAGCGCAUACCGCAAAGCAGGAGCGUCAGCGACUUUCGGAGGGCGCGACCGCGCCUGGGAAAGCGGACGACGUCGCCGGGACACAGACCUACAUCUACGACACACCAGGGCUCCUCCCUCACUGGCACCAGCGUUCUCUUCUCACCCUGCUGCAGAUGCGCCGCACGCUUAUUCGAAAGUUUCGCAACCCACAGUGCUUUCUCCUGCUGCCAGGACAUACACUGUUCCUUGGCGGCCUCGCCGCUGUCGAUGUUGUGCGCGGCCCGCCGCGAGGGCUGCUCUUUCUUGUCUACACAUCUCAGAAGGUGCGGAAUGCUAUUGUGAAUACAGUGCAAUCCGAUGCGUUCUGGCGAGAGCAGCUGGGCAAGGCGCUGGACCCUCCCGGCUCGUAUGAGCAGCUGCUUCCGCUGGACGAUCUCAGCACCGCAGCCGGCCCGCCUCGUCUCUCCGAGACAAGGAGCUACCUCUUCGAGUGCUACGGGCGUCAUCGGCGGCGCCCCAAGGCUGAUCUGUACGUGUGCGGUCUCGGCUGGACUUCGUUCUGCGUCAGUGAGCCCGCGGACGUUGUCUUGCGCGUGCGCACGUUACCCGGGGUUGUCCACGGCGUGCGCGAGCCGCUACGCUUCAAAGACCUUCGUGCACGACGGGCGUGGCCAAGGCUGAAGCGACGCUUUACCGCCAAAGGGAUCGAAGAUAUGGAGAGCGACGUCGAUAGAGACUCCAUCAAUACUGUGGUGCGCCUCAUAUCAGCACCAGUGGCGCCAGCACCCGCUGCGUCUGCGGAUGAGCCUCCCGAAGCAAGCGUGCGCACGGUUGAGCGGGUGGCGCAUCCCCGCCAUCACUCCGCUUCGUCCGCCCCGUUUGCGGCGUUGAAGGAAGACCUGCACGCCGUCGGGAAGCUGUAGCACUUCCCUCCUCGAUAUGGGCCAUGUGCACGCCCUUCCAUACAGUGGCCCUUGUACAAGCUGCUGUUUCGCCUUAAAGACAGGAGCAGCCGCGGCAACUGAAGAGUCCGACGACGGCGUGGCACCCUGCGGUGCCCCUGGUUGAGGGCUGCAAGGACACACACACCAGGGGGAGGUAUGCAUGUCUGUCAAGUACUUUUCUCAACCCCUUUUUCCCGCCUUAGCUGCCCCCUUUCCUUCACACACACAGACGUACGCUCGUAUUUACCUUCCGUAAGGCGAUUCAACAACAUUAAAGCUGCCGUAGACAUGCAAACUCGAUCGUGGCGGCUCAAUCGAUGCUGCCGCCGCGACACCUCGCUGUCAAUAGUUGCCAUAUCUAAAGCAGCAGCCC